Molecule: transfer RNA, 76 nt
Filed under: Chloroflexota bacterium
Lineage: Bacteria; Bacillati; Chloroflexota
Also listed under: 1 other name
Description: Chloroflexi bacterium tRNA-Trp
Rfam family: tRNA
About the family: Transfer RNA (tRNA) molecules are approximately 80 nucleotides in length. Their secondary structure includes four short double-helical elements and three loops (D, anti-codon, and T loops).
Source: RNAcentral
AGGGGCGUAGCUCAAUUGGUAGAGUACCGGUCUCCAAAACCGGGUGUUGUCGGUUCGAGUCCGGCCGCCCCUGCCA